UUCCAGACUCCUACGGGAGGCAGCAGUGAGGAAUAUUGGUCAAUGGUCGGGAGACUGAACCAGCCAAGCCGCGUGAGGGAUGAAGGUACAGAGUAUCGUAAACCUCUUUUGUCAGGGAACAAAGGCGGGGACGCGUCCCCGGAUGAGUGUACCUGAAGAAAAAGCAUCGGCUAACUCCGUGCCAGCAGCCGCGGUAAUACGGAGGAUCCGAGCGUUAUCCGGAUUUAUUGGGUUUAACGGGAGCGUAGGGGGAUUGUUAAGUCAGUUGUGAAAGUUUGCGGCUCAACCGUAAAAUUGCAGUUGAAACUGGCAGUCUUGAGUACAGUAGAGGUGGGCGGAAUUCGUGGUGUAGCGGUGAAAUGCUUAGAUAUCACGAAGAACUCCGAUUGCGAAGGCAGCAUACCGGCGCCCGACUGACGCUGAGGCACGAAAGCGUGGGUAUCGAACAGGAUUAGAUACCCCCGUAU
RNAcentral lists this ribosomal RNA (467 nucleotides) under uncultured bacterium. RNAcentral describes it as "bacterial SSU rRNA". It matches the Rfam family "Bacterial small subunit ribosomal RNA", at positions 329 to 793 of the family's 1533-position model. The record is from RNAcentral.